This 63-nucleotide transfer RNA is filed under the name Schistodesmus lampreyanus. Its description in RNAcentral is "tRNA-Val". Lineage: Eukaryota; Metazoa; Mollusca; Bivalvia; Unionida; Unionidae. The record is from RNAcentral.
CAAAAAGUAGUAUAUUUAUUACAAUUCGUUUACACCGAGUCAAAGGUUACACGCCCUUUUUGA